GAGCUAUAGGAGUCCACAUGCAAAGGGGGCAGAGAGAGGGUCUAGGAAUGAAAGGUGGUCCCCAGCUGGCAAAAUAAUAGGGAGAGCAGUCUUGCAACAGCAAGAAACUAGGUUCUGCCGACAAUCUGAAUGGGCCUGGAAGUGGAUUCUUCCCAUGACCAACCAAUUAGAGCCACCUGGACAACACCUUGACUUUCACCCUGGCAAGACCCUGGGUGGAGAAAACCAGUCCAGCUGUCUGGACCCUGGACCUGUAAAGCUGUGAGAUCUUAGAGGUAGGUUUUUUUAAAGUUUGUAGCAAUGUUGUUAUGGCAACAGAAAACUAACGAUCCUCAAAGAGUAUGAGCUCUUCUGGGACAGAAACAAUAACCACUACCCACUGUAGAAUCCUCAGUCCCUGCCAGAGUGCCCGCCCCCUGGUAGGCACUCAGAAAACAGUAUCUGUACCAACAGAAACCUGCUCCUCCACCAGGACUUACUUUGGGGGUAAUUUUUUAUGGUGUGUUUGGAAAACAGAAUCUAGUCCUCCAACAGCAAUUGGUGGGGAAGUUUUCACAGGAAGAUACUUAGAAAGCGGGCCUGGCCUUCUCUGCAGGCUGAGUGACUGGAGCCCCAGGGGCCUCUUGACCCUGGACUUUCCCAGUGGGUGAAAGACAGCUGUUCCCUGGAGAAGAAACAGGUCCUCGUGUCUGCUCCCUGUAUGCAGCCCCCUCAGAGCACUGUUUACAAAAACCAAGACAUGGGAGCAACCUGAAUGUCCAUCGACAGAUGAGCGGACAAAGACGAUGCGGUACACAUACACAGUGGAAUACUACUCAUCCCUAAAAAAGUAAUGCCGUUGGCAGCGACGUGGAUUGCUAGAGAUUAUCAUACUAAGUGAAAGAAGACAGCAGAAUGCGCACGUGUAUGAUUUAAGUGAUUCCAAAGCACAUACCAGCAUCGUCAUCCCCUCCCCAGCCCCCCAGAUUAAUUAUGAAAUAGAACCUUGCUAGAAUCCCAGAAGUUUGAAUUCAGAAGCUUGAGCUCCUGUGUUCCCCUCAUGGCAGCCCAUCACCCCCCUCUCUUCCCCCGCACCCAGACUCUGUCCUGAAUCUGGUGUGAACCAUUUUCUUGCUUUUAUCAUUGAACUGUGAAUGCAUAUACAUGCCUGCUCAGUUGCUAAGGCAUGUCCAACUCGUUGGGAUCCCAUGGACUGUGGCCCGCCAGGUUCCUCUUGUCCAAGGGACUCUCCAGGCAGGCAGGAAUACUAGAGUGAUACCUGUUUUCUGAAGUGGUUGCAGCCAAAAAAAAGUACAUUCUUUUCGCACAUAAAUGAAGACAGUGCGUCAGCUGGUAUGGUACUCCAUGGUAUAAGAUCCUUCCAUUGUGCUUCAUUCUCCUCUGCACAGGACUGGAGCUGCUUAAACUCCCAGAAGACUGCUUGAGCUCCAGCCAUCACAUCUAAAUUCCAGCCAACAAAAAGGAGGAAAAAAAAAAGUUUCACCCUUUUCCUUUGAAUAUACUUUCAGAAAGUCACACUAGCCACUUCCUCUUAUUUCCCAGUGGCCAGACUUAAUCUCAUGGACACAAUAAACUGCAAAUGAUUGUAGGAAAUGUAGUCUUUAUUCUCGGUACCAACAUGCCCAGCUAAAAGUUGAGAGUUCCAUCAUGAAGGAAGAAGAGAGAAUAGAUUUGUAGGACAAUGAACAAUCUCUGCCAUAGAC
This is a long non-coding RNA of Bos taurus (domestic cattle), 1703 nucleotides long. The record is from Ensembl. NCBI's taxonomy places the organism in Eukaryota, Metazoa, Chordata, Mammalia, Artiodactyla, Bovidae.